RNAcentral lists this ribosomal RNA (491 nucleotides) under uncultured bacterium. RNAcentral's name for it is "partial 16S ribosomal RNA". It matches the Rfam family "Bacterial small subunit ribosomal RNA", at positions 29 to 506 of the family's 1533-position model. The record is from RNAcentral.
AGUGAACGCUGGCGGUAGGCCUAACACAUGCAAGUCGAACGGCAGCACAGUAAGAGCUUGCUCUUACGGGUGGCGAGUGGCGGACGGGUGAGGAAUACAUCGGAAUCUACUUUUUCGUGGGGGAUAACGUAGGGAAACUUACGCUAAUACCGCAUACGACCUACGGGUGAAAGCAGGGGAUCUUCGGACCUUGCGCGAUUGAAUGAGCCGAUGUCGGAUUAGCUAGUUGGCGGGGUAAAGGCCCACCAAGGCGACGAUCCGUAGCUGGUCUGAGAGGAUGAUCAGCCACACUGGAACUGAGACACGGUCCAGACUCCUACGGGAGGCAGCAGUGGGGAAUAUUGGACAAUGGGCGCAAGCCUGAUCCAGCCAUACCGCGUGGGUGAAGAAGGCCUUCGGGUUGUAAAGCCCUUUUGUUGGGAAAGAAAAGCAGCAGGUUAAUACCCCGCUGUUCUGACGGUACCCAAAGAGUAAGCACCGGCGAACUUCGU